AUUGAACGCUGGCGGCAUGCUUUACACAUGCAAGUCGAACGGUAACAGCGUGCUUGCACCGCUGACGAGUGGCGAACGGGUGAGUAAUGCUUCGGAACGUGCCGAGUAGUGGGGGAUAACGCAGCGAAAGUUGUGCUAAUACCGCAUACGUACUGAGGUAGAAAGCGGGGGACCUUCUGGCCUCACGCUAAUCGAGCGGCCGACGUCUGAUUAGCUAGUAGGUGAGGUAAAGGCUCACCUAGGCGACGAUCAGUAGCGGGUCUGAGAGGAUGAUCCGCCACAAUGGGACUGAGACACGGCCCAGACUCCUACGGGAGGCAGCAGUGGGGAAUUUUGGACAAUGGGCGAAAGCCUGAUCCAGCCAUGCCGCUUGUCUGAAGAAGGCCUUCGGGUUGUAAAGGACUUUUGUCAGGGAGGAAAUCCCUAGUGCUAAUAACACUGGGGGAUGACAGUACCUGAAGAAUAAGCACCGGCUAACUACGUGCCAGCAGCCGCCGUAA
Molecule: ribosomal RNA, 500 nt
Filed under: uncultured bacterium
Lineage: Bacteria
Description: partial 16S ribosomal RNA
Rfam family: Bacterial small subunit ribosomal RNA
Source: RNAcentral